UGGGGAAUUUUGGGCAAUGGGCGCAAGCCUGACCCAGCGACACUGCGUGGGUGAUGACGGUCUUUGGAUUGUAAAACCCUUUUAUGGAGGAGUAAGGCGGGAAGGAGGAAAUGCCUUUCCGUUUGACAGUACUCCAUGAAUAAGCCCCAGCCAACUACGUGCCAGCAGCUGCGGUAAUACGUAGGGGGCAAGCGUUGUCCGGAAUUACUGGGUGUAAAGGGUGUGCAGGCGUCUCCCUAAGUUGAUUGUGAAAGCCCGAAGCUCAACUUCGGAACGGCAGUCAAUACUGGGGGGAUGGAGGUUAUGGGAGGGAAGUGGAAUUCUCGGUGUAGCGGUGAAAUGCGUAGAUAUCGAGAGGAACACCGGUGGCGAAGGCGGCUUCCUAUCAUAGACCUGACGCUC
RNAcentral lists this ribosomal RNA (402 nucleotides) under uncultured bacterium. Its description in RNAcentral is "bacterial SSU rRNA". It matches the Rfam family "Bacterial small subunit ribosomal RNA", at positions 355 to 748 of the family's 1533-position model. The record is from RNAcentral.